Molecule: unclassified non-coding RNA, 980 nt
Filed under: Hevea brasiliensis (rubber tree)
Lineage: Eukaryota; Viridiplantae; Streptophyta; Magnoliopsida; Malpighiales; Euphorbiaceae
Source: RNAcentral
AGCAUAUCAAUAUAGAAUUAUCAAGUACAUGAAGAAAUCAAAGGAAACAUGUUUGAGGACUUACAAUGGCUGGAAGAAAGGAAAGCCAAAAGUAAAUUUCAGUUUCAUGGAAAUCCAGAAAAAUGCAACACAUAGCAUAGAUCCAGAGAGGCAAGAGUGAUAAAUCCAUAUCGCAAAGCCAUGUAAUCAGAAUUGUUUAUAGAGCUCCAGAAUUGGCGGCUGAAACAGAGCAGCCAAAGAAGAACUCUGUACUGACUCCAUGGAUGGGAAGUGCGGUGAGAAAUGAAAGUAGUUAAUCGUGUCAGUCUUAUAUUAAACAAUGCAGCUUGAAAAGAACCCGGAAUUCAAGAAAUUUAGGCAAUUUAUUUAUGAAGGCAUUCAAGAAAUGGUAGACCCAAAAAAGAAAAGAAAAAAGCUCAAUCAUUUUGGACUAUAAAAUUCUGCACCAUGUGCACUCUGAGUAGCCAUAUACUUAGCUUCUUGUUCCCAAAUUCUCCAGCUAUAAAUAUGCAAGAAUUAAAAUGGGAAGUCAAAGCUCUCUUUGGAAAUGUUAAUUUUUAAAGGGACAGAAAUUAUAUUGGUGAGAGUAUGCAACAACCUUAAUCAUGGCCAGGGCAAUGGCAAUAAAGUUAUACAAAACAUGGAUUACGCCCAGGACAAACAUCAAACGGUGAAGCUUCUCCAGACUUUCUUGUGAUGCAAAAGACUCAUGACCCUCAGGACAAUGAUCAUGUUCAUGCACCAGGGUGUACAUCUCCUCUCUAUCAGAGGAAUCAUUUGCAUAACUUGAAGCUGAAUCAAACCCGCCUUCCUCUAAUUUUAAAUUAUCAUUUAUUGCACAUGGGGAAAAUCUGCUUCUCACCGCAGAUGUUUUGAUACAAAUCUUGGCCACCACGACAACCCAAUGACCCAUCAACAAUGACAGAAACCCAAAAAGCGUCAUCUCAUCUUUGAUCUUUUCCAGAGCUGAAAGUAGUGCU